UUAUGUGGAUAUCUGUAGUAACUUAGUACAUAAAUAAAAAGUUUCCAAGUUGCGAGGAUGAGAUGUAAUGAUCCGCACUGUGCAGGUUUAAUGGUCUGACUAUAGAGACUCACACUUAACGUGUUGAAGUCACGUCUUUCUGACCGUGUGGAGCCGCUUCGCUCUUUUCAUCCGGUCGACUUUGUGGAGAUGAAACCGUCUCCAGGACGACAAUGUUGAUAAACGCUGUAAAUCCGUGUGUAGUAAUUACACAGCUGGGAUUACUCUCAUCCACGGUCACUUGUAGAUUUUCCGAGUCUGGCAGCAGCAGGUCCCUCUCUGCAGAACAAGUUUUCCUCCUUCACUCGUCAGGAGAGCAGUGACCGCAGGAGCAGCGGCGGCGGCAGGUUCUCUGAGCAGUGGGAGGCAGAUGGAGGUUGCCCCGGUAACCGUCGUUAAACACGAGGCCUCGUUCACCUGAACCAGAGUCUGAUCAGACACACAGAACCACGACCGCCACGUUUAUGUGAAAUACAUCAGGUUCAGAUAAACUGGAAUUUUCCUUUAAAGCUUGCUGUUGAUUGGCAGGGUCAGCCACACAUAACGGUUACCGUGGUGACGGGAGGCCGCGAGGAGAAAGCACAGAAAGUGCAGCCAAGACAGAGAAAACACACUUCAGGAGGUCAAAGGUCAGCAUCCCUGGAGCCGGGAGCGGGGCCAAGUGUUAGCAGUGAUUACUGUGUCAGAGUAAUGAUCCUCAUGCUGAAGCCAUCAGAGCCGCAGAGAAAUGACGACAUCACAGCCAAAAGAAAACAACCAUAUUCCAGUUUUAACGUUGCUCCUGUGGUUUGCGGAUCCUCAGACGCUCCUCCUGCUGCAGGUGGCUGCUGCUUUAACGCCCACCGCCUUUGAAUACAGAGCUCAAAGACUUGGACAAGACACCUGAAGUCCCUGAAGACAGAGAAGAAGAGGGAGGAGGAGGAGGAGGGGGAGGAGGGGGACGGGGAGGAGAGCGGAGUUGAUGUCUCUCUGCGGGAUCGAUCAGCUCCCAGGAGGUCGCUUUCUGGAGGAAGCUGAUUGGCUCCAUCUGGAUCAGAUCUGCACGCUGCACGGAGCAGAUAAAUCCUCUCUGCUGGUUUACACUGGUUCCAUCCCACUGAGCCCAGUGAGCCCAGUGAGCCCAGUGUCACUGCCGUGUGCUCCCGACUGUCCCGCAGACACAGAGUGUACUGACCUCAGCAGAUGUCCAUCACUAAACUACCAGCAAGGUUAUGAAACCCACAUGACUCCAUCAAUCAACCAUCAAACUAUCACAGAGAAUAAAGAAAAUAACAUCAAACACAAGUUAUGACGUUAACUUUGUUCAAAACUUUUUUGUCAUAGUUGAGAGAAGCAGAAUAUUUUUGGCGUCCUUCGCUCCGUGUUUGGUGGAUCGUUCUCUGUGACCACAGACGCCUCAGAACACACAAGACAAACCGGUUUUUCUCUUUCUUGAAACUUCCUUCCGUCUGCAUCAGUUUUUCUCUUU
Molecule: long non-coding RNA, 1507 nt
Organism: Thunnus maccoyii (southern bluefin tuna)
Lineage: Eukaryota; Metazoa; Chordata; Actinopteri; Scombriformes; Scombridae
Exons: 3
Source: RefSeq, a predicted model, not a curated record